GGCUCUGUGGCUCAGUUGGUUAGAGUACCGCCCUGUCACGGCGGGGGUCAGGGGUUCAAGUCCCCUCAGAGUCGCCA
Molecule: transfer RNA, 77 nt
Filed under: Clostridiales bacterium
Lineage: Bacteria; Bacillati; Bacillota; Clostridia; Eubacteriales
Description: tRNA-Asp
Rfam family: tRNA
About the family: Transfer RNA (tRNA) molecules are approximately 80 nucleotides in length. Their secondary structure includes four short double-helical elements and three loops (D, anti-codon, and T loops). Further hydrogen bonds mediate the characteristic L-shaped molecular structure. tRNAs have two regions of fundamental functional importance: the anti-codon, which is responsible for specific mRNA codon recognition, and the 3' end, to which the tRNAs corresponding amino acid is attached (by aminoacyl-tRNA synthetases). tRNAs cope with the degeneracy of the genetic code in two manners: having more than one tRNA (with a specific anti-codon) for a particular amino acid; and 'wobble' base-pairing, i.e. permitting non-standard base-pairing at the 3rd anti-codon position.
Source: RNAcentral